This 495-nucleotide ribosomal RNA is filed under the name uncultured bacterium. RNAcentral's name for it is "partial 16S ribosomal RNA". It matches the Rfam family "Bacterial small subunit ribosomal RNA", at positions 29 to 506 of the family's 1533-position model. The record is from RNAcentral.
AUGAACGCUGGCGGCGUGCCUAAUACAUGCAAGUCGAGCGAACAGACGAGGAGCUUGCUCCUCUGACGUUAUCGGCGGACGGGUGAGUAACACGUGGAUAACCUACCUAUAAGACUGGGAUAACUUCGGGAAACCGGAGCUAAUACCGGAUAAUAUAUUGAACCGCAUGGUUCAAUAGUGAAAGACGGUUUUGCUGUCACUUAUAGAUGGAUCCGCGCCGCAUUAGCUAGUUGGUAAGGUAACGGCUUACCAAGGCGACGAUGCGUAGCCGACCUGAGAGGGUGAUCGGCCACACUGGAACUGAGACACGGUCCAGACUCCUACGGGAGGCAGCAGUAGGGAAGAUUACGCAGUGGGCGAAAGACUGACGGAGCAACGCCGCGUGAGUGAUGAAGGUCUUCGGAUCGUAAAACUCUGUUAUGAGGGAAGAACAAAUGUGUAAGUAACUAUGCACGUCUUGACGGUACCUAAUCAGAAAGCCACGGCUAACUACGU